Molecule: ribosomal RNA, 2583 nt
Filed under: Chondrus crispus (carragheen)
Lineage: Eukaryota; Rhodophyta; Florideophyceae; Gigartinales; Gigartinaceae
Description: LSU ribosomal RNA
Rfam family: Bacterial large subunit ribosomal RNA
Source: RNAcentral
GAAUCUUUAAAACAAGCAUUAAAUGAAAACCUUGAUAAAAAAAUAAGGACGUCACGCUACGAAAGUUAUGAGUAAGCAUAGGCUUGUGAUCCGUAAAUUUCCUAAGAGUAAACUCAGCUUAAUUUUUACAUAUAGUAACGAGAAUUGAAUCAUCUUAGUAUCGUUAAUAAAAAUCAAACGAGAAAUUGUAAGUAAUGGUGAAUGAAAGCAAAAAGGCUAUUAUAUUAAAAUUCAGUUAAAAAAUUAUUUAUUGCUUUGGAAGGUAUAAGCCCUGUAUUAAACUGAAAUAAUAUAACAAAACUAAGUAGUACGAAAAGUUAUCUUGUAUGAACAAAGGAGAUCCACCUUCUAAGCCAACCAAAUUUUUUUAAUCAAUAGUAAACGAGUACUGUAAAGAAAAGGUGAAAAAUUCCGUAAGGAUAAAUUGAAAUUAAAUGCUUAUAACAACUCGAAAUUAUUAAAAAUAACGAAAUGCCUUUUGCAUAAUGAGUCAGUAAGUUAAUAAAUAUAGCAAGUUCAAAUAUUAAUAUCGAAACGAUUAAAAGUAAUAUUUAUUAAACCUGAAACCAAGUGAUCUAUUCAUCAGCAAGCUGAAAAUUCAUUAACAUGUUUUUUAGGGCUGAACUCACACAUGUAGCAAAAUGUGGAGAUGACUGAUGAAUAGGAGCGAAAGACUAAUCAAACUUGGAGAUAGCCGGUUUUUCACGAAAUGUAUUUUAGUACAUCAUUAACUAAUUCAAGAUUAAAUUUUAGAUAGAGUACACAAUAAGCAAAGGGGUGUAACGACUUACUGAGUUUAAUCUAACUCCCAAUUAUAAUUUAAUAAAGUUAAUAGACAGUCUUUGAGCGAAAAGGUCCAUAGACAAGAGGAAAACAAUCCGAAUCACAUACUAAGAUCUUGAAAUUGUAACUUAGUGAAAAAGCUUUAAAAAGAAUCAAAUAUUAAUGUGGAUAGGCUUAGAAGCAGUCUUUCAUUAGAGAUAGCGUUUUAGCUCAUUAUUUUUUUCUUUGUUAAAGUUAAAAUUUAAGAAGACUUUAGUUAUAUAUCGAAGUAGUGGAUUACAUUGUAAUGGUAGUGAAACGUUCUGUAAUCUUUUUAUUUUUUGAAAAAUAAAUAAAUUAAUUCAGAAGUGCUAAUGCUGACAUGAGUAGCGAAAACUAUGUUAACAAAUCAUAGUCGCUUUAAGUUUAAGGGUUUCAACGUAAUUUCAAAUUCGUUGAGUUAGUCGGUCCUUAAGAGGUGAAUGAAAGUUGUACUUGACAGGAAUUAUUAAUAAACCAGUUAUAUGUAUUAAAUUAUGAAAAAAAAUUAAUUAAUAAAACUUUUUAAAUUUUUUGUGGAAAAAAAUCAAACUUAAUUUUUCAAGAAAAAAUUAUAACAAAUUAAGACCGUACUUAAACCGACACUGGUAAAUUUAUCGAAGAGAUUAAAGUGAAUGAAAAAAUCAUAUUAAAGGAAUUCAGCAAAUUAACUCUGUACGUUCGCAAUAAAGAGAACCUUUUAUAAGGUAGCAUUAAAUAAAAAGUAACGACUGGUUAUCAAAACCACAGGACUCUGCUAAUUUAUAAAAAAGUAUAGAGUCUGACGCCUGCCCAGUGCUUGAAAAUAAUAAUUUUUGUUUAAGCUCAAAUUUUAAUUACAAGUAAACGGCGGUUCUAACUAUAAGAAUCCUUAGGUAGCGAAAUUCCUUGACGGGUAAAUUCCGUCCUGCAUGAAUGGCGUCACGAUUGCUUUACUGUCUCUAAUAUGAAUUCAGCGAAAUUACAAAACCUAUGAAAAUGUAGGUUACUUGCAGUAAGACGGAAAGACCCUAGAUCCUUUACUCUAUUUUUGUAUUGUAAAAAUUAUAUAAUUGUAUAGAAUAAGUGGAAGUACACACAACUAUGAAAUACCACUCAAAUAUAUAGUAUUUACUUAUUUAUUAAUUUAAAUUAAUAAAAACCGUACAAAAAAGGGAGUUUACUUGGGACGAGUACCUCCUAAAAUGUAACGGAGGUGUACGAAGGUAACUUAUAUUACAAAAAUGUAUAAUGGCAAAAGUUGCUUGACAAUUAGAUUGAUAAAUCAAAUUGGGACGCAAGUCAGUCAUAAUGACCCGAUAUUUAAGUGUGGAAUUAAUAUCGUUCAACAGAUAAAAGGAACUCUAGGGAUAACAGAUUCAUCGUGAUUGAGAGUUCGUAUUGAUGUCACGGUUUGAUACCUCGAUGUCGACUCAUCUUAUCCUGAAGUUGAAGCAAAUUUCAAGGGUCUAGUUGUUCGCUAGUUAAAAAGGUACGUGAGUUGGGUUCAGAACGUCGUGAGACAGUUCGGUCCCUAUCUACUGUAAGUAAAGAAAAAUAAAAAAUCUAUCUUUAGUACGAGAGGACCAAGAUAUGUUAACCACUGGUAUAUCGAUUGUUAAUCCUUUAGCAUAGUCAAAUAGCUACGUUAAUUUACGCUUAAAUACUGAAAGAAUCAAAAGUAUCAAAGCUAUUUUUUUAUUUUUCAGGAAUAAUCUAAAAGACUAUUAGAUUGAUCGAUUUAUAAUUUAAAUUUAGUAAUAAAUUUAGUAAUAAACACGAAAUUAUUCAAAAAAGAUUUUA